UGAGGAAUAUUGGUCAAUGGUCGGGAGACUGAACCAGCCAAGCCGCGUGAGGGAGGAAGGUACAGAGUAUCGUAAACCUCUUUUGUCAGGGAACAAAGACGGGGACGCGUCCCCGGAUGAGUGUACCUGAAGAAAAAGCAUCGGCUAACUCCGUGCCAGCAGCCGCGGUAAUACGGAGGAUGCGAGCGUUAUCCGGAUUUAUUGGGUUUAAAGGGUGCGCAGGCGGUCUGUUAAGUCAGCGGUCAAAGCCCGGGGCUCAACCCCGGCCCGCCGUUGAAACUGGCAGUCUCGAGUUGGAGAGAAGUAUGCGGAAUGCGCGGUGUAGCGGUGAAAUGCAUAGAUAUCGCGCAGAACUCCGAUUGCGAAGGCAGCAUGCCGGCUCCACACUGACGCUGAGGCACGAAAGCGUGGGUAUCGAACAGG
This 423-nucleotide ribosomal RNA is filed under the name uncultured bacterium. Its description in RNAcentral is "bacterial SSU rRNA". It matches the Rfam family "Bacterial small subunit ribosomal RNA", at positions 355 to 776 of the family's 1533-position model. The record is from RNAcentral.